Molecule: non-coding RNA, 210 nt
Organism: Pelobates cultripes (western spadefoot toad)
Lineage: Eukaryota; Metazoa; Chordata; Amphibia; Anura; Pelobatidae
Source: the annotation of a GenBank genome assembly
CUCAACACGGAGCCUUGUCUAGUUUUUGGGGGGAUUCACUGUAUGCUGUUAGAGACGGAUUGCCAGGAGUGUAAGCUGAUUGUCUGCUUUUCCUGUUCGUCUGCUAGCAGCUAUUUGGGAGGUUCCAGUUCGGGAGUUGGAGUGCUAUUUUGUAUCCAGUCCGGGAGUUUGGUGUUCUGCAGUAGCUGUGCCUGUAUCUCUGGAAAGGGG